AUGGAGAAAUACAAAGAUACCACCAAAGGAGAAUAUUCCUUGGUUUUUGACUACCAAUUGGAAUUGCUGAGAACUAACCCAGGUAGCACUGUUGCUAUCAAACUGGCAGAUGAUGUGAAAGAUGGUGAGCAUGUUUUUGAGAGGUUUUACAUGUGCUUUGGUGCUAUUAAAAAAGGAUUUCUAGCUGGCUGUAGAAAGGUUAUAGGACUUGAUGGAUGUUUCUUCAAAGGAGCUUGCUUUGGUCAGCUACUUGUUGCUUUGGGAAGAGAUGCCAACAAUCAGAUGUACCCUGUAGCUUGGGCUGUCGUCGAAAAAGAAACAUAUGAGUCUUGGUUCUGGUUUGUUGAGAAGUUAAACAGAGACCUCAAAAUCAGCAAUCAAGGGGAUGGGUGGGUGUUCAUCUCAGAUCAGCAAAAAGGACUAAUAGGGGCUAUAGAGGAUAUUCUUCCAAAAGCAGAACAUAGGAUGUGUGCAAGGCACAUUUACUCAAACUGGAAGAAAAAACAUAAUGACAAAGAUUUGCAAAAGAGAUUCUGGAGAUGUGCAAAGGCUCCUAACAGGGCUCUGUUCAACUAUAACAGAGUAAGGUUGGCUCAAUUCACGGUUGAAGGAGCAAAGGACAUGAUGAACACAGAUCCAGUUCACUGGAGUAGGGCUUACAUGAAAUUGGGAAGCUACUGUGAUUCAGUUGACAAUAACAUGUGUGAGUCAUUCAACAAUUGGAUCAUGGAAUCAAGAUAUCUACCUAUUCUUUCUAUGCUGGAGUGGAUAAGAUGCAAAAUUAUGGUGAGGAUACAAGAGUGCAUUACCAAGUGUUUGAAAUGGUCAGGAAUCAUAUGUCCUAACAUAUUUAAAAAACUAAAGCAGAAUAUAACAAAGUUCACAACCAAGCUCAUUGCAUGUGUCACAACAAAGAUCAUUGGUUCAGAGAAGUGCUCCAGCCAGCAAGCCUAG
This 954-nucleotide ribosomal RNA is filed under the name Triticum aestivum (bread wheat). RNAcentral describes it as "partial small subunit ribosomal RNA". The record is from RNAcentral. Lineage: Eukaryota; Viridiplantae; Streptophyta; Magnoliopsida; Poales; Poaceae.